Molecule: ribosomal RNA, 255 nt
Filed under: uncultured bacterium
Lineage: Bacteria
Description: partial 16S ribosomal RNA
Rfam family: Bacterial small subunit ribosomal RNA
Source: RNAcentral
UACGUAGGGUGCGAGCGUUGUCCGGAAUUACUGGGCGUAAAGAGCUUGUAGGCGGUUUGUCGCGUCUGCUGUGAAAUUUCGGGGCUCAACCCCGAACUUGCAGUGGGUACGGGCAGACUAGAGUGUGGUAGGGGAGACUGGAAUUCCUGGUGUAGCGGUGAAAUGCGCAGAUAUCAGGAGGAACACCGAUGGCGAAGGCAGGUCUCUGGGCCAUAACUGACGCUGAGAAGCGAAAAGCAUGGGGGAGCGAACAGG